AAGAUUAAUAAUUUGGGCUUCUAACCUAAUAAUAAUGAACAAUUCAUUUAAUCUUU
RNAcentral lists this transfer RNA (56 nucleotides) under Rhipicephalus punctatus. RNAcentral describes it as "tRNA-Ser". Lineage: Eukaryota; Metazoa; Arthropoda; Arachnida; Ixodida; Ixodidae. The record is from RNAcentral.